RNAcentral lists this ribosomal RNA (253 nucleotides) under uncultured bacterium. Its description in RNAcentral is "partial 16S ribosomal RNA". It matches the Rfam family "Bacterial small subunit ribosomal RNA", at positions 524 to 776 of the family's 1533-position model. The record is from RNAcentral.
UACGGAGGGUGCGAGCGUUGUCCGGAAUUAUUGGGCGUAAAGAGCUCGUAGGCGGUUUGUCGCGUCUGCUGUGAAAAUCCAGGGCUUAACCCUGGACCUGCAGUGGGUACGGGCAGACUAGAGUGCGGUAGGGGAGAUCGGAAUUCCUGGUGUAGCGGUGAAAUGCGCAGAUAUCAGGAGGAACACCGGUGGCGAAGGCGGAUCUCUGGGCCGUAACUGACGCUGAGGAGCGAAAGCAUGGGGAGCGAACAGG